CCGGCCCGAGCCCGACCCAAAAGCCCGAUAUAUUAAUUAUUUAAAUAAAAUAUUUAAUUAUAUAUAUAAUAUUUAUUUAUAAAAAGAAUAAAUUAUAUAAUAUAUCAUAUAUAGUAUAUAGUGUUAUUAAUGGUAUAUACUUAUAUAUAUAUAUGAGGAUAUAUUAUAUAUUAACAAAAUAUUUAGUUUCAUAUUAGGAUAUAUUAAAUAGUAUUAUUAUAUAUAAUUAAUUAAUUAUACAUAUCUAUGAGUAAAUAUAUGGU
RNAcentral lists this long non-coding RNA (263 nucleotides) under Ananas comosus (pineapple). RNAcentral's name for it is "long non-coding RNA (ACOM_LNC012221)". Lineage: Eukaryota; Viridiplantae; Streptophyta; Magnoliopsida; Poales; Bromeliaceae. The record is from RNAcentral.